Molecule: long non-coding RNA, 582 nt
Organism: Magnolia sinica
Lineage: Eukaryota; Viridiplantae; Streptophyta; Magnoliopsida; Magnoliales; Magnoliaceae
Exons: 3
Source: RefSeq, a predicted model, not a curated record
CGUCUGGUAGCAGGGUGACUUCAUCAAUCAAGGUAUAAACUCGAUUUCAAAUCUAAUGGUAUUUGGUCAAUGUAGCAAUGAGUCAACUCAGUGAGUUUUUAGCAAAGAUUUGAGUUUGACUUAAAUUCUAAUUUUAGUCAUUUGUCCAACAUGUAAUUAUUAUUCUGUGGCUUUCUAGCCUUGUUUGGAUUGAGUCAAUUGGGUCAAAUCGGGCCGAGUUCAGUUGAUCAAGUGUAAAUCAAGAAGUAUCGGCAUGUUCAAGUUCGACAUGUUGAGCUGAGUUUGGACCGAAUUAGGAGUUGAGUUGAAUCAAUUCAAGCUAGUGAAGUUAAAUCGAGUGAUUUGGACUUUUUAGUGAUCGUUAGUCUUGUAAGAAGAGAAUUCAUAUCCUAAGUUGAUGCAGGUUAUGUAGAUGAUGCACCGAUCGACAUUGGUGUGGGGCAUGGAGAGCUAAAUAAUCUUACGACUCCAUAUCCUAGUUUUCUUUCAUUAUUAUUUUAUUUCAUUUUUUAUAUUUGAGUCGUUACUUCGUAUAAGUCCUAUGGGCAACCAUUUGUAUAAGUUGAGAUAUAUUUUAGACAC